This is a small nucleolar RNA of Pteronotus mesoamericanus, 130 nucleotides long. RefSeq annotates it as small nucleolar RNA SNORA61. NCBI's taxonomy places the organism in Eukaryota, Metazoa, Chordata, Mammalia, Chiroptera, Mormoopidae. The record is from RefSeq and is a predicted model, not a curated record. The transcript has a single exon.
GCCCUCUGGUUCCGUUUCCCAUUGAAUCUGAACACUGGUUUUAGUGGGAGUAAUAGAAAAAGUAAUACUGAAGCUGGCCUCAUGGUGCUUGUAGCCUACUCUAUAACAUGUGGUCUAGUUUCAAAUGAAG